GCCUUUUUUCCCUCUGUUUAAAAAAGAAUUGGAGGUUUUCUAUCAUAGGUAGUGUGUUAGCAAUGCUAGUUAUUGUAGGUAACCAGUUAGCUUACGUUACCCUAGCUAAUGCUAAUAAAUGGCCUAUUGUUAGUACCUAGUUAUAAAAAUAUUACUGUAGCUGAUUCCACUGCUCUAUUUGGGCGGAGCUAUUCUUUUGGUGUUUUUGGCCAAAGUCCACCUUUAAUAAGAACCCCAGAUGUUUAAAAAUGACCCUUUAUGGAUGUCUUAUACAGUACCUGCUGUCUCGACUACCACCCCUAAACUUUACCAUUAGAGAAAUUACCUCAUAGCUCUUAAUGUGACUAUGUUAAAUUACUUUUCCUUGUCAGCAGCCAGUGGUUUCCUGUGUAAAAUAUGCCAUUUCAAGCCUGGUCCCCAAUCUGUGUGUGCAGUUUUUUUCUUUUCAGCAAUUUGGCAACACAGCACAAACUAACAGGUCGGGAACCAGGCUAUGCCCCACCCCCGUUGCAUAUGUUAAAAGGCCAUGACCAAGGCCAUAACGGUCAGACUGUUACUUCGCCAAGUUAUUAUGGGAGCGAUUCGAAGUUGACCCUUUCCUGAUUCAGAUACUGUAUAGCCUACUCUAUAUUUGUACUACAUUUUGUAACGCUGAGACGUUGAAUUAGCAGCAUUGGUGCAGUAGUUCUCACACGUGUCCUAGUCUGGUUUCUUUAAACUGUUUUUCCCCUUCCCGGGAAAAACAAUUCGCAAUUCUCUUUCUUAAACAGAUUCUGUAGUGUCCGGACCCUGUCAUUUAAUGACAGCAGGCUUCAUGAACUAACCUGUGUGAUAUAGCUAUAGCAGCUACUUGAUCUACAUGUAGCUAUAGCAACUACGUGACUGUUAGCAAUGUAGUUAAGUGUAUUGAACAAUGUGGUAUUCCUUGAGGGUAUGCUACCAUUCCAAGUCACAGCAAUUCUGUUUGUCAUGUCUAGCCUGCAUGCUUGAGUCUGAUGCCCGUUUACACCCAUUGCUUACAUGCAUCCUCCCGUGUUUGAAUUUCGUUCACAUUCUCAUUGGGACAACGCUUCCUGACAGGUGCGCACAAUUCAAAAACUCGCAGUGAACUGUUUCAGUUUGAAAACGGAGAGGAUCAAGAUGAGUGACGGGUGUAAACGCAGAUUGAGAGUGAAGGCUCAGCAUUCACACCAGCUUCACUGUAUGUAGCGUCAUCGCAGCUAUUGAUUACAAGCUUUUUUAAGCUGUGAACUUAUUGAUGGAGGUGUUUGUUGAUUUGAUGAUAUUGUCCGUAGACUAGCUCUUUUUCGAAAAGUGUCAUGAAUAUUGCAUCGGUUCAUUUUGUACUCACUGGGUAUGACAAAUAUACAGACGUAUGGUGAAUUCUAAUCAAUCUAAUCAAUCUAUCACUGUAAAUAAUUCCGAUGUACUAUGUGCUCUCAUUGUUGAGUUAUUUAUUUUCUCUCAACCAGUGCUUUUCGCAGACGCGUAGUUGUGUAUCGGGUUGAAUUUUGCAAUUCAUUCUUCAUACGAUUCUGACUUGUGCGCUUAGCGCACGUGUUUUUUGCCAUAUUGGACUUGGUUGUCCGCAUUGCUUAUGAAACACACUGUGGAUUUUGUGUGGAAAUAAAUGUUGCAAAGUGCUAC
Esox lucius (northern pike) is the source of this 1647-nucleotide long non-coding RNA. NCBI's taxonomy places the organism in Eukaryota, Metazoa, Chordata, Actinopteri, Esociformes, Esocidae. The record is from Ensembl.